Molecule: ribosomal RNA, 357 nt
Filed under: uncultured bacterium
Lineage: Bacteria
Description: bacterial SSU rRNA
Rfam family: Bacterial small subunit ribosomal RNA
Source: RNAcentral
AACGAACGCUGGCGGCGUGUUUAAGACAUGCAAGUCGCACGGGGCAAAAUGAGUAGUAAUACAAGUUUUGUUCAGUGGCGCACGGGUGAGUAACACGUGAAUGACAUGCCCUGCGGAGGGGGAUAGCCCAGGGAAACUUGGAUUAAUACCCCAUGGUAUCGCGAGAUUAAACGGUGGCCGCAAGGCUGUCGCUGCGGGAUUGGUUCGCGCCCUAUCAGCUUGUUGGCGGGGUAACGGCCCACCAAGGCUACGACGGGUACCUGGUCUGAGAGGACGAUCAGGCACACCGGAACUGAGACACGGGUCCAGACACCUACGGGUGGCAGCAGUCGAGAAUAAUUCACAAUGGGGGCUAAA